Molecule: unclassified non-coding RNA, 337 nt
Filed under: soil metagenome
Description: partial contains 5.8S ribosomal RNA, internal transcribed spacer 2, and large subunit ribosomal RNA
Rfam family: 5.8S ribosomal RNA (bases 1-120)
Source: RNAcentral
GAUGAAGAACGUAGCGAAAUGCGAUAAGUAAUGUGAAUUGCAGAAUUCAGUGAAUCAUCGAAUCUUUGAACGCACAUUGCGCCCCCUGGUAUUCCGGGGGGCAUGCCUGUCCGAGCGUCAUUUACCCCCUCAAGCUCCGCUUGGUGUUGGGCGUCUGUCCCGCUUCGCGCGCGGACUCGCCCCAAAGGUAUUGGCAGCGGUCGUGCCAGCUUCUCGCGCAGCACAUUGCGCUUCUCGAGGCACCGGUGGGCCCGCGUCCAUCAAGCUCACCCCCCCAGUUUGACCUCGGAUCAGGUAGGGAUACCCGCUGAACUUAAGCAUAUCAAUAAGCGGAGGA